RNAcentral lists this transfer RNA (67 nucleotides) under Marmota monax (woodchuck). Its description in RNAcentral is "tRNA.Ala". The record is from RNAcentral. Lineage: Eukaryota; Metazoa; Chordata; Mammalia; Rodentia; Sciuridae.
GGACUGUGGCUCCGUGGUAGAGCACUCGCCUAGCACGGGCGGGACCUGGGUUCGAUUCUCAGCACCA